RNAcentral lists this ribosomal RNA (324 nucleotides) under Hydrochus flavipennis. RNAcentral describes it as "partial 12S ribosomal RNA". Lineage: Eukaryota; Metazoa; Arthropoda; Insecta; Coleoptera; Hydrochidae. The record is from RNAcentral.
UUUAAGUAUAAAUAUGUAAUAAAAUUAGUAUUAGUUAUGUUCUUGAAAUUUAAAGAUUUUGGCGGUAUUUUAGUCUUUUCAGAGGAACCUGUUCUGUAAUCGAUAGUCCACGAUUAAUAUUACUUAUUUUAAUUAAUUUGUAUAUCGUCGUAGUUGAAUAUUUCAUUAGGAUUUAAAUAUUCAAGAUUUAAAAUAAUAAAUUAAAUCAGAUCAAGGUGCAAUUUAUAAAUAAGAAGAGAUGGGUUACAAUAAAAGUAUUUAUACGAAUAAAUUAAUGAAAAAGAUUUUGAAGGUGGAUUUGAAAGUAAUAAAAUUGAUUUAGAU